RNAcentral lists this ribosomal RNA (253 nucleotides) under uncultured bacterium. RNAcentral's name for it is "partial 16S ribosomal RNA". It matches the Rfam family "Bacterial small subunit ribosomal RNA", at positions 524 to 776 of the family's 1533-position model. The record is from RNAcentral.
UACAGAGGUGGCAAGCGUUGUUCGGAAUUACUGGGCGUAAAGGGCGCGUAGGCGGCCUUCUAAGUCGGACGUGAAAUCCCCAGGCUUAACUUGGGAACUGCGUCCGAUACUGGAGGGCUUGAGUGCGGGAGAGGGAUGUGGAAUUCCAGGUGUAGCGGUGAAAUGCGUAGAUAUCUGGAGGAACACCGGUGGCGAAGGCGACAUCCUGGACCGGUAUUGACGCUGAGGCGCGAAAGCCAGGGGAGCAAACGGG